This 340-nucleotide ribosomal RNA is filed under the name uncultured soil bacterium. Its description in RNAcentral is "bacterial SSU rRNA". It matches the Rfam family "Bacterial small subunit ribosomal RNA", at positions 26 to 363 of the family's 1533-position model. The record is from RNAcentral.
AGAGUGAACGCUGGCGGUAGGCCUAACACGUGCAAGUCGAACGGCAGCACAGGAGAGCUUGCUCUCUGGGUGGCGAGUGGCGGACGGGUGAGGAAUACAUCGGAAUCUACCUUUUCGUGGGGGAUAGCGUAGGGAAACUUACGCUAAUACCGCAUAAGACCUUCGGGUGAAAGCCGGGGACCUUCGGGCCUGGCGCGGAUAGAUGAGCCGAUGUCGGAUUAGCUUGUUGGCGGGGUAAAAGCCCACCAAGGCGACGAUCCGUAGCUGGUCUGAGAGGAUGAUCAGCCACACUGGAACUGAGACACGGUCCAGACUCCGUACGGGAGCAGCAGUGGGAAUA